RNAcentral lists this transfer RNA (72 nucleotides) under Camelus bactrianus (Bactrian camel). It matches the Rfam family "tRNA". Rfam says of the family: Transfer RNA (tRNA) molecules are approximately 80 nucleotides in length. Their secondary structure includes four short double-helical elements and three loops (D, anti-codon, and T loops). Further hydrogen bonds mediate the characteristic L-shaped molecular structure. tRNAs have two regions of fundamental functional importance: the anti-codon, which is responsible for specific mRNA codon recognition, and the 3' end, to which the tRNAs corresponding amino acid is attached (by aminoacyl-tRNA synthetases). tRNAs cope with the degeneracy of the genetic code in two manners: having more than one tRNA (with a specific anti-codon) for a particular amino acid; and 'wobble' base-pairing, i.e. permitting non-standard base-pairing at the 3rd anti-codon position. RNAcentral also lists the same sequence under 2 other names. The record is from Rfam by way of RNAcentral. Lineage: Eukaryota; Metazoa; Chordata; Mammalia; Artiodactyla; Camelidae.
GAGGAUAUAAUUCAGUGGUAGAGUGCAUGCUUAGCAUACAUGAGGUCCUGGGUUCAAUCCCUAGUACCUCCA